This 1271-nucleotide long non-coding RNA is filed under the name Microcebus murinus (gray mouse lemur). RNAcentral describes it as "lncRNA (ENSMICG00000048597.1)". Lineage: Eukaryota; Metazoa; Chordata; Mammalia; Primates; Cheirogaleidae. The record is from RNAcentral.
UGGACUUGGCCAUUAGAUGUCGCGCCCGCCUCGCCAGCAAGGAAGACGCGGCAACCGGAGUUCUUCUGACAGUGCUUUAAUGGGGUUCCCUUUAGACUUACAUGAUACGGAAGACCCUGAGCACAAGCUCUCACACACUUAUAUACUCUAAGGAAGGAGGGAAGUGAUGGGGAUAGGUUAAAGGCACGCGAGGGUUAUUACUGAUAGGCCAAGCUAAGAUCCUUCAUAUGCAUACUUGAUGAGACAGGAAAAGCCCCUACACCUGCGCGGUUCACCCUGUUUAUCAGUCCUGUAGUAUCGGCGUGACCAGAAAGCCGGUGCCAUCUUGAAAUGGCGUUAACACCGCGCCCCACAUCUCCCCCUGUUUUAUUAAUUAAUGAGAACUGAGCAACCAAGAUCAAAGUCGCACCUGUGUUGACAGUCCCAGUUCCAUGCAAAGGCUGGCGCUAGGGUCAGAGGGUCCCAAGGCCAGCCCACUCUUUCAGGUGCUGAGUGGCUUGAUGAAUCCACGUUGCAAGGGCCUUAACUACGCCGGCUGGCAGGUUAUAACUACGCUGGCUGGCAGGUUAUGCGGUCUGCAGGGUUGUGCUCAAAGCUACAGCCAACGCUGCGGCAGCCGUAGCGAUAGCUGCAACAAUUGCAGCCGUGAUUCCAAAGUUCCUGCGAGUACAAGUGGAUGAUGUAGCAGGUGUCUCAGAUAAAUUCUGACCGAAAAAAGGCCAUCUCCUCUGUCCUCUGCGUCUUUUCUCCUUCUUUCUCUCCCUUUUCUCCUUCUUUCUCUCCCUUUUCUCCUUCUUUCUCUCCCUUUUCUCCUUCUUUCUCUCCCUUUUCUCCUUCUUUCUCUCUUUUCUUCUGGCAUCUGGCUUUGUCUUUCGCUCUGGCUCUUUUCGCUCUGGCUCUUUUCGCUCUGGCUCUUUUCGCUCUGGCUCUUUUCGCUCUGGCUCUUUCGCUGGCCUUUCGCUCGGCUCUUUUCGUCGGCUCUUUUCGCUCUGGUCUUUCCUGGCUCUUCGUUGCCUUUCGCUCUGGCUCUGGCUCUUUUCGCUCUGGCUCUGGCUCUUUUCGCUCUGGCUCUGGCUUUUUUCGCUCUGGCUCUGGCUCUUUUCGCUCUGGCUCUGCUUUUUUCGCUCUGGCUCUGGCUCUGGCUUUUUUCGCUCUGGCUCUCUUUUUUCCACCUUUUACCGCGGUCCUUCCCUUACUGCUUCUCUCUGAGCUUGCGUAUUACCCAUUAUGGAAGCAGGGGAGUUUUGGCCGUCCCACACGUCAGUUCUGAA